UGAGGAACAUGACCUUCGGCGGGGGAUAGCUGGCCCAACGGCCGGGUAAUACCGCGUACGACCACAUGGGGACAUCCCUGAGUGGUGAAAGCAGCAAUGCGCCGAUGGAGUGCCUCGCGGCCUAUCAGCUAGUUGGUGAGGUAACGCUCACCAAGGCGACGGACGGGUAGCUGGUCUGAGAGGAUGGCCAGCCANAGUUGGGACUGAGACACGGCCCAGACUCCCGUAACGGGG
RNAcentral lists this ribosomal RNA (234 nucleotides) under uncultured bacterium. Its description in RNAcentral is "partial 16S ribosomal RNA". It matches the Rfam family "Bacterial small subunit ribosomal RNA", at positions 118 to 346 of the family's 1533-position model. The record is from RNAcentral.